GAUGAACGCUGGCGGCGUGCCUAAUACAUGCAAGUCGAGCGAACAGACGAGGAGCUUGCUCCUCUGACGUUAGCGGCGGACGGGUGAGUAACACGUGGAUAACCUACCUAUAAGACUGGGAUAACUUCGGGAAACCGGAGCUAAUACCGGAUAAUAUAUUGAACCGCAUGGUUCAAUAGUGAAAGACGGUUUUGCUGUCACUUAUAGAUGGAUCCGCGCCGCAUUAGCUAGUUGGUAAGGUAACGGCUUACCAAGGCGACGAUGCGUAGCCGACCUGAGAGGGUGAUCGGCAACACUGGAACUGAGACACGGUCCAGACUCAUACGGGAGGCAGCAGUAGGGAAUCUUCCGCAAUGGGCGAAAGCCUGACGGAGCAACGCCGCGUGAGUGAUGAAGGUCUUCGGAUCGUAAAACUCUGUUAUUAGGGAAGAACAAAUGUGUAAGUAACUAUGCACGUCUUGACGGUACCUAAUCAGAAAGCCACGGCUAACUACGUG
This 497-nucleotide ribosomal RNA is filed under the name uncultured bacterium. RNAcentral describes it as "partial 16S ribosomal RNA". It matches the Rfam family "Bacterial small subunit ribosomal RNA", at positions 28 to 507 of the family's 1533-position model. The record is from RNAcentral.